UACGUAGGUGGCAAGCGUUGUCCGGAUUUAUUGGGCUUAAAGGGUGCGUAGGCGGUCAUGUAAGUCAGUGCUGAAAUAUCCCGGCUUAACCGGGAGGGUGGCAUUGAUACUGUAUGACUUGAGUAAAGUUGAGGUUGGCGGAAUUGACGGUGUAGCGGUGAAAUGCUUAGAUAUCGUGAAGAACACCUAUUGCGAAGGCAGCUAACUAAGCUUUAACUGACGCUGAGGCACGAAAGUGUGGGGAUCAAACAGG
Molecule: ribosomal RNA, 253 nt
Filed under: uncultured bacterium
Lineage: Bacteria
Description: partial 16S ribosomal RNA
Rfam family: Bacterial small subunit ribosomal RNA
Source: RNAcentral